CCUACGGGAGGCAGCAGUGGGGAAUUUUGGACAAUGGACGCAAGUCUGAUCCAGCCAUUCCGCGUGCAGGAUGAAGGCCCUCGGGUUGUAAACUGCUUUUGUACGGAACGAAAAGGCCUCUCCUAAUACGAGGGGCUCAUGACGGUACCGUAAGAAUAAGCACCGGCUAACUACGUGCCAGCAGCCGCGGUAAUACGUAGGGUGCAAGCGUUAAUCGGAAUUACUGGGCGUAAAGCGUGCGCAGGCGGUUAUAUAAGACAGAUGUGAAAUCCCCGGGCUCAACCUGGGAACUGCAUUUGUGACUGUAUAGCUAGAGUACGGUAGAGGGGGAUGGAAUUCCGCGUGUAGCAGUGAAAUGCGUAGAUAUGCGGAGGAACACCGAUGGCGAAGGCAAUCCCCUGGACCUGUACUGACGCUCAUGCACGAAAGCGUGGGGAGCAAACAGGAUUAGAUACCCUGGUAGUCCACGCCCUAAACGAUGUCAACUGGUUGUUGGGUCUUAACUGACUCAGUAACGAAGCUAACGCGUGAAGUUGACCGCCUGGGGAGUCGGCCGCAAGGUUGAAACUCAAAUGAAUUGACGG
RNAcentral lists this ribosomal RNA (584 nucleotides) under uncultured bacterium. RNAcentral describes it as "bacterial SSU rRNA". It matches the Rfam family "Bacterial small subunit ribosomal RNA", at positions 338 to 916 of the family's 1533-position model. The record is from RNAcentral.